Molecule: unclassified non-coding RNA, 205 nt
Filed under: uncultured Hydnodontaceae
Lineage: Eukaryota; Fungi; Basidiomycota; Agaricomycetes; Trechisporales; Hydnodontaceae
Description: sequence contains ITS2
Source: RNAcentral
AGUCAUCAACCCCUACCGUUUUUGCGGAGAGGGAGUUGGAGCUGGGGCGUGCUGCCGUAAGGGCGGCUCCCCUGAAAUGCAUCGGUUGGGCCUGUGGGUCGAACUCGACUGGGCGUUGUACCAUCCUCGCUCGACGGAGAAGUUCCCCUCUCGCGCCGUAACCCCGACCCCGCCUGUGGAGCGGCGGUCAAUUUAACUUUGAAAU